GACGAACGCUGGCGGCGUGCUUAACACAUGCAAGUCGAACGGUAAGGCCCUUCGGGGUACACGAGUGGCGAACGGGUGAGUAACACGUGGGUGAUCUGCCCUGCACUUCGGGAUAAGCCUGGGAAACUGGGUCUAAUACCGGAUAGGACUCCUGGCUUCAUGGUUGGGGGGGGAAAGCUUUUGCGGGGUGGGAUGGGCCCGCGGCCUAUCGGCUUGUUGGGGGGGGAAUGGCCUACCAAGGCGACGACGGGUAGCCGGCCUGAGAGGGUGACCGGUCACACUGGGACUGAGAUACGGCCCAGACUCCUACGGGAGGCAGCAGUGGGGAAUAUUGCACAAUGGGCGCAAGCCUGAUGCAGCGACGCCGCGUGAGGGAUGACGGCCUUCGGGUUGUAAACCUCUUUCAGCUAUGACGAAGCGCAAGUGACGGUAGUAGCAGAAGAAGGACCGGCCAACUACGUGCCAGCCGCCGCGGUAA
RNAcentral lists this ribosomal RNA (478 nucleotides) under uncultured bacterium. RNAcentral's name for it is "partial 16S ribosomal RNA". It matches the Rfam family "Bacterial small subunit ribosomal RNA", at positions 28 to 523 of the family's 1533-position model. The record is from RNAcentral.